Molecule: ribosomal RNA, 468 nt
Filed under: uncultured bacterium
Lineage: Bacteria
Description: partial 16S ribosomal RNA
Rfam family: Bacterial small subunit ribosomal RNA
Source: RNAcentral
GACGAACGCUGGCGGCGUGCUUAACACAUGCAAGUCGAACGGAAAGGCCCUGCUUUUGUGGGGUGCUCGAGUGGCGAACGGGUGAGUAACACGUGAGUAACCUGCCCUUGACUUUGGGAUAACUUCAGGAAACUGGGGCUAAUACCGGAUAGGAGCUCCUGCUGCAUGGUGGGGGUUGGAAAGUUUCGGCGGUUGGGGAUGGACUCGCGGCUUAUCAGCUUGUUGGUGGGGUAGUGGCUUACCAAGGCUUUGACGGGUAGCCGGCCUGAGAGGGUGACCGGCAACAGGGGGAUGGAGCACGGGCCAGGACUCAGAGGGGGGGAAGCGGGGGGGAUUAUGGAACAGGGGGGGGAGGCCGAAGGCAGCACCGCCGGGGGGGGGAGGAGGGCCUUGGGGUGGAAACCCGCUUCCGCUUGGGAGGAGGGGGGAGGGGGGGAAAGGGAAAAGAAGCCCCCGCCAAACGACUUC